GGCCGCGUAGCUCAAUUGGCUAGAGCGUUGGUUGCACUAUAGCCUUCCCCUUGCCGGCGUGGGUUCGAAUCACACCGAGGUCG
Molecule: transfer RNA, 83 nt
Filed under: Schistocephalus solidus
Lineage: Eukaryota; Metazoa; Platyhelminthes; Cestoda; Diphyllobothriidea; Diphyllobothriidae
Rfam family: tRNA
About the family: Transfer RNA (tRNA) molecules are approximately 80 nucleotides in length. Their secondary structure includes four short double-helical elements and three loops (D, anti-codon, and T loops).
Source: Rfam by way of RNAcentral